This 3135-nucleotide long non-coding RNA is filed under the name Sus scrofa (pig). Its description in RNAcentral is "lncRNA (ENSSSCG00030004944.1)". The record is from RNAcentral. Lineage: Eukaryota; Metazoa; Chordata; Mammalia; Artiodactyla; Suidae.
CAGCAUUCAGAACUGGUAUCAGGUAGACCCCAUUGGUUUCCCUUUGCCCAUCUGAGGUGGUAUCUCAGGAGGUUUUGCAAGACCCUAGAGAAAGAGACAUGAUAAAUAGUAUUUUAAAUGACAAUUUGGAUGGUGCCAAGUAGUUCAAACCACCAUCACAAUAGAAAACCCUUCUUUGAUAAAACAUGUUAGAGGAACGCAUAGAACUUUAAAAUCAAAGCAUUGAAGAAAACUUAGAACUUGUGCCCAAGUAAUCACACCUCCCAAGAAUCCCAUUUAAAUUAUUUCUGAUAGACAAGUAAUCCAGUUUUGGGGGUGAAGAGCUGUCUUCGCAUACAUUCUCUAGUUAAAGCUCUCAUUUUUAAUUCAUCCAUUUUAAAAGGAUGCUGUUCUGGUUUCUCUGAUCAUCAAUUUUAUGCAUAUCUCCUAAAACACACAUCAUUGACCUUACCAUUAAGAAGAAAAAAAAGCAGCUCAGACGUCUGGUACAAAUGGUCUGGUACCAUUUGUUAUGUCUUGGUGUUGCUGGAUGCUGAUCUGGCAUUCACAACUACAUCUUAAUGUUCUCCUCUCGGACAUAUACAACUUCAUAGAACAUGAAUAAUCAGAUAAGGCUAUUCUGGACCCUGAUGGAUCAAGACAAAAGUCAAGACUACUUGGCAAUCUUGUCUCAAUACAUAGAAAAACACUAGCCUUGUGCAAACCACAAAAAUGACCAAACACCCCAUAUCCUGGCUAACACAUGUGAGUACUGCUUCUUUAUCUGUUAUAGCUUAAUCCUUACUCUAAUUUUCUUUUCCUCUAGAUUAUAUUUAUAAAAAUACUCCAUUUUACCCCUACUUCCCAACAUUCAAUCCAGAGAAAAGCCCAACUCCCUCCCCUAAUUUCCCUAGGCCAAACUCAAAUCCUUUUAAGUUCUAAUAUUCCCUUAUUGAAAUACCUCAUAGUCACUCACUGCAAAGAGCAAUAAACCAACAUUAUGUUCCUGGUGGUCUUUGGCUGAGAUUAAGGUUAAUGUUGUCAACUCCUAAAAUUUCACCACAUCUCCCCUGGCAUAACAUCCUGUCUGGAUAUUUAUCAUGAUUUGGAAGUCCUGCCCUGAUUUCAUUCCAAACUUUACAUCAAACCUCAUUGCCAUGACUAUUUCUCAUGUAACAUUUAUAAAGACCUGCUCAGAACUAAAUUACGUGUAUGUCUAAACUGUGUCCAUUAGUCCUAAAAACAAUCGUGAAAGAGAAUAUAGCGUCAUUUUUAUUUUUCCCUUAGGGAACUGAAUUGCAGAGAGGUGAACUCUCUCUUGCAGGUUCAUGCAGAGAAUAAAUGAAAGAAGCAGGAUUUGUACCAAAGUUUGUGUACAAGCCCUAUUAUGCAAAUAGCAGACUACCUGAUAUUAUUUCACGGUGAUCCAUACUUUCUAGCUCCCAUGAUCCUGCUGCUGCUGUGGAUGUGUUUCACGCAUUGCUAUUUAUUGUCCUUCAGAGUCUAGGUCAAAAUGCUGACUUUUCCGUGAUAUCUUCUCUGAAGCAUUCAUUCACUUGCUCAUUUACUUAAUCGAAAUUUGUUAGGCCUUACCUAUAUUUACACUAGAGUAAAACUUCAUGAAAGUAGGGCUAUACUUUUCCAGUGAAAUUAGUAAGAUGAAGGGCAAGUUUGGGGGAGGAAGCGUGUCAUGAUGAAGACCAUCUCAAAAAAAUAGUUAAGUACUAUUCGUCUAGAGGUUGUAAUUAUUACUAUGGCUAAUCACUUCUGUACAUUUUGUAUAUUUAAUCCUUCUCCAGAUCUAUACCACUUGCCCAGGAACAUAUUUAUUAUUCAUAGGUUUCCUUACAAAUAACAGAUGAAUGUUGGCAUUUGUAGCUGAAGGUUCUAGUAGCCUACUCCAUGCUUGGCCAGCCACUAACAGUGCUCCUGGCUGAGUCAGUCUCACACAGGUUGUGCUGGCUGUACCAUGACCCUCUGCUUCAUCCCUCACCAAGCCAACUGGCCGUGCCCAUCAGCUUCUGUCAUAGAGUCCCUUUCCACUGGUACAUAGUCCUUUGGGUGGCCCCCUUGUUCCCAAAUAGGUGUUCAUCCCAAGAGGAACCCUGCAGUGGCUCAGGGAGGCAAAUUAAACCUCCAUGCUUCCCACGGCCUCCCCCUUGCUCCAGGUGUAUGUGGCAUGGCCUGGGGGGGGAUGGUAACUAUCAGGGUUCUAAAUGGAAAAUGAGGAGAAAGUGCAUCCUUCAUCCCCAGUAUGGUACCCAAUUCAAUAAGGCAAGUUAAGUGCAGACAGCCCUCCCAUGGCCACCCCUGCCUACAUACACAUGUGAAGCAAGGUUAUCAUUGCAUGUAAGGAAUAUGACAACCCAGGAGACCAAGGACUGGAAGGAGAAGAGAACUCAACUGAGGAACAUACAUUUUCUCCACUGCCCUGAGAUCAAAUAACCUAUACCCCCAGACAUUGGGCCAUUUUAGAGGGCAUUUUAUUCCAUACAACCUUCUUACUGACUAUUAAACUAAAGCGGUCAGAAGAGAACUUCCAUAGACUUUCAAAAUGAAAUCUACCCCACUCACUAGCAUCUAUACCCUGAUAAGGUGUGUUCACUUCAGGCAAUACAUAUGAACUCUUUGUAAAGACAGCCUCUCUAUGUGUUUAUGAGAUCCUGCUCAUCUUCUCCAGGACCAUCAUUCCCUCAUUCCCUCUCAUUUCUUCUCUGCUUCCUACUUUUCAGCAUUUUUUUUCUUUUAUUGCAUAUCUGCACAAAUGCAAAUCUUUUAUUUUGCAUUUUAUUAUACAAGGGCAUACAUAUUAAAUGCAUUUUUUGGAAAAUCUUUUUGUUCCUUAAGAAUAUUUUAACAUCUGGGAUGACAUUUAUAUUUUUCUUUCUUUCUUUCUUUCUUUUUUUUUUUAUUAAAGUAUAGUUGAUUUACAGAGUUCCUGUUGUGGUGCAGUGGACACGAAUCCAACUAGCAACCAUGAGGUUGCGGAUUCAAUCCCUGGCCUCGCUCAGUGGGUUAAGGAUCUGGCAUUGCUGUGGCUGUGGCGUAGGCUGGCAAUUAGACCCCUAGCCUGGAAGCCUCCAUAUGCCGCGGGCACAGCCCAAAAAAACAAAAUGAAUAAAUAAAUAAAUAGUCUAGUUGAUUUACGAGCAUUUU